Molecule: non-coding RNA, 66 nt
Filed under: Paraburkholderia tuberum
Lineage: Bacteria; Pseudomonadati; Pseudomonadota; Betaproteobacteria; Burkholderiales; Burkholderiaceae
Source: RNAcentral
UUGAGCUGUAUGCAGGGAAACUUGCACGUACAGUUCUUAGGGGGAAUGGCACUUACUUAAGCCUAC